GAUGAACGCUGGCGGCGUGCCUAAUACAUGCAAGUCGAGCGAACAGACGAGGAGCUUACUCCUCUGACGUUAGCGGCGGACGGGUGAGUAACACGUGGAUAACCUACCUAUAAGACUGGGAUAACUUCGGGAAACCGGAGCUAAUACCGGAUAACAUGUUGAACCGCAUGGUUCAACAGUGAAAGACGGUCUUGCUGUCACUUAUAGAUGGAUCCGCGUCGCAUUAGCUAGUUGGUAAGGUAACGGCUUACCAAGGCAACGAUGCGUAGCCGACCUGAGAGGGUGAUCGGCCACCCUGGAACUGAGACACGGUCCAGACUCCUACGGGAGGCAGCAGUAGGGAAUCUUCCGCAAUGGGCGAAAGCCUGACGGAGCAACGCCGCGUGAGUGAAGAAGGUCUUCGGAUCGUAAAACUCUGUUAUUAGGGAAGAACAAAUGUGUAAGUAACUAUGCACGUCUUGACGGUACCUAAUCAGAAAGCCACGGCUAACUACGUG
RNAcentral lists this ribosomal RNA (497 nucleotides) under uncultured bacterium. RNAcentral's name for it is "partial 16S ribosomal RNA". It matches the Rfam family "Bacterial small subunit ribosomal RNA", at positions 28 to 507 of the family's 1533-position model. The record is from RNAcentral.